Molecule: ribosomal RNA, 393 nt
Filed under: uncultured bacterium
Lineage: Bacteria
Description: partial 16S ribosomal RNA
Rfam family: Bacterial small subunit ribosomal RNA
Source: RNAcentral
AUACGGAGGAUGCGAGCGUUAUCCGGAUUUAUUGGGUUUAAAGGGUGCGUAGGCUGUGCGUUAAGUCAGGGGUGAAAUGCCGUCGCUCAACGACGGAGCUGCCCUUGAUACUGGCGUGCUGGAGUACGGAUGCCGUUGGUGGAAUGAGUGGUGUAGCGGUGAAAUGCUUAGAUAUCACUCAGAACACCGAUUGCGAAGGCAUCUGACGAAUCCGUCACUGACGCUGAGGCACGAAAGCGUGGGGAUAGAACAGGAUUAGAUACCCUGGUAUUCCACGCCGUAAACGAUGAUGACUAACCGUCGGCGAUAGACAGCCGGUGGCCAAGCGAAAGCGAUAAGUCAUCCACCUGGGGAGUACGUCGGCAACGAUGAAACUCAAAGGAAUUGACGGGG